This 667-nucleotide ribosomal RNA is filed under the name Roseateles terrae. RNAcentral's name for it is "bacterial LSU rRNA". It matches the Rfam family "Bacterial large subunit ribosomal RNA", at positions 589 to 1258 of the family's 2925-position model. The record is from RNAcentral. Lineage: Bacteria; Pseudomonadati; Pseudomonadota; Betaproteobacteria; Burkholderiales; Sphaerotilaceae.
AGGGGUGACUGCGUACCUUUUGUAUAAUGGGUCAGCGACUUACAUUCAGUGGCGAGGUUAACCGAAUAGGGUAGCCGUAGAGAAAUCGAGUCCGAAUAGGGCGAAUUAGUCGCUGGGUGUAGACCCGAAACCAAGUGAUCUAUCCAUGGCCAGGAUGAAGGUACCGUAACAGGUGCUGGAGGUCCGAACCGACUAGUGUUGCAAAACUAGCGGAUGAGCUGUGGAUAGGGGUGAAAGGCUAAACAAACUUGGAGAUAGCUGGUUCUCUCCGAAAACUAUUUAGGUAGUGCCUCAAGUAUUACCUUCGGGGGUAGAGCACUGUUUAGGCUAGGGGGUCAUGGCGACUUACCAAACCUAUGCAAACUCCGAAUACCGAAGAGUACAGCUUGGGAGACAGAGCACCGGGUGCUAACGUCCGGACUCAAGAGGGAAACAACCCAGACCGCCAGCUAAGGUCCCUAAAAUUGGCUAAGUGGGAAACGAAGUGGGAAGGCUAAAACAGUCAGGAUGUUGGCUUAGAAGCAGCCAUCAUUUAAAGAAAGCGUAAUAGCUCACUGAUCGAGUCGUCCUGCGCGGAAGAUGUAACGGGGCUAAGCCAGUUACCGAAGCUGCGGAUGCACAGUUUACUGUGCGUGGUAGGAGAGCGUUCUGUACGCCUGUGAAGGUG